AUUGAACGCUGGCGGCAGGCCUAACACAUGCAAGUCGAGCGGAGCGGCGGACGGGCGCGUAAUGCCUAUGAAUCUGCCUGGUAGUGGGGUAUAACGUCCGGAACCGGGCGCUAAUACCACAUACUAUCAGAUCAGUCUAGGUCGGAUUAGCUAGUUGGUGGGGUAAAGGCCUACCAAGGCGACGAUCCGUAACUGUGCUGAGAGGAUGAUCAGUAACACUGGAACGGAGACAAGGUCCAGACUCCUACGGGAGGCAGCAAGGGGGAAUAUUGGAGAAUGGGCGAAAGCCUGAUCCAGCCAUGCCGCGUGUGUGAAGAAGGUUUUCGGAUUGUAAAGCACUUUAAGUUGGGAGGCGUUACCAACAGAAUAAGCACCGGCUAACUUCGUGCCAGCAGCCGCGGUAAUUC
This 407-nucleotide ribosomal RNA is filed under the name uncultured bacterium. Its description in RNAcentral is "partial 16S ribosomal RNA". It matches the Rfam family "Bacterial small subunit ribosomal RNA", at positions 30 to 526 of the family's 1533-position model. The record is from RNAcentral.